RNAcentral lists this transfer RNA (63 nucleotides) under Ictidomys tridecemlineatus (thirteen-lined ground squirrel). Its description in RNAcentral is "Spermophilus tridecemlineatus (thirteen-lined ground squirrel) tRNA". It matches the Rfam family "tRNA", at positions 5 to 66 of the family's 71-position model. Rfam says of the family: Transfer RNA (tRNA) molecules are approximately 80 nucleotides in length. Their secondary structure includes four short double-helical elements and three loops (D, anti-codon, and T loops). Lineage: Eukaryota; Metazoa; Chordata; Mammalia; Rodentia; Sciuridae. The record is from Rfam by way of RNAcentral.
AUAUAGCUCAAUGGCAGAGUGCUUGCCUAGCAUGUGUGAGGCCCUGGGUUCAACCCCCAGUAU